Panicum virgatum (switchgrass) is the source of this 1320-nucleotide long non-coding RNA. RefSeq lists it as uncharacterized. The record is from RefSeq and is a predicted model, not a curated record. The transcript has 6 exons. NCBI's taxonomy places the organism in Eukaryota, Viridiplantae, Streptophyta, Magnoliopsida, Poales, Poaceae.
ACCGCCGUCCUCCGCGUCAGGCCACGCCGCCGUCCGCCGCGCCCCAGCCACGCCCACGCCGGGCCUCAGCUCCUCCGCGGCCUGCCGCGCGGCGCGGCCGGCCUGGGCGGUCAGGGGUGGCCCAAGCGGGCCCGCGUCCAGGGCCGCCGUGAGGCUCAGCCGUGGGCGUCCGGCGUGGGCGGGAGCCGUGCGCAUCGCCCUGCGUGCGGCGCCCGGCGCCGCCGUAGUGAGCUGCCGCCGUGGGCCGAGCCGUGCGCCUGGCCGUCCUCCUCGCCCACGGCGGAGCUCACGGUGGAGCUCGCCGGAGUACCCCUCACCGAAGUACCCCUGCGAUGCCUUUUCCGCGCGGAAUCUGCUACCUCUGCCGCCGCAAAACAGAUCUUGGGGUGCACUGCCUGGGAUCGUGAUGUGGAUAGUGGAUACAACGCCGACUACCUGAGCUCCAAUCUGGUGGUGGGAUGGUUCCAAGUGAUUAAUGGCCUGCAUCAGCAAUGGUCAUUCACGUAGUCGCUGGCGCAGAACUGUGAUAAGGUGCCAUCGAGUACAGAUCAGAGGAUGAUGUGCUUCAUCAUCGAGUACCAAACACUAGGGAUCUUUUUAUUUAUGCUUGAUUCAUCGAGUACCAAACACUAGGGAUCAUCUCACUAGAUCAAUUCCUACUAUUAGAAAAGAAGAAGAAUGAUACUACUCCAAAAUAACUUCAGAGAUCAAUAAUUAUCAUCUAUCUCCGCAAACAACGCCAGCCGCCGGCAAUGUCUCUGGCGGCGGCAUCCACAUCCACCUUUGCGGCGCUGCGCCUCCAUCUUCAUCAAAUUGUGGAACAAGAAAAAGGUACAAAAGAAUGCCAUAUCAAAGCAACCGGUGAGCAAGCACAAUUGGUGACUUUAGCAUAUGCUUCAGAUAUGUAGUCCUCCAUGAAAGCUGAACUGAUGAUAAAGGAUGAUAUGCUGCUGGUGAAUGGGUGACCUAUAAAAAGUUGAAUUAAUCCGUUGAUACCUCUGGACUCUGGUGGUGAUACAUUACUGUGCUUGCAUCGCUUCAUUUAAGACAUAGCCACCUGGGGAUGCCUUCCUUGAUGAUAAGACUCGGAGAAGCUCUGGAUAGGGUCACUGUCGAGUGUUUUGGUAAGCAAGUGACAAAAUUUAAUCGGAAAAAUGUAUUGUAGUUCUUUUUUGGUGUCCGUCUUUGAUAGGUUUUUUGGUUGGUCAUUUGCUGGCUCAUUAUUGGAGUUCAGGUUUUGUUGAUAUCACUACGAUUAUGCUGUUCUUGGAAGUUUAUUUGGGCAUUACAAUAACAUGUCUUUUGGUUUGGAUUGAUCGG